Molecule: unclassified non-coding RNA, 215 nt
Filed under: uncultured Cortinarius
Lineage: Eukaryota; Fungi; Basidiomycota; Agaricomycetes; Agaricales; Cortinariaceae
Description: sequence contains ITS2
Source: RNAcentral
AUAUUAUAUCAACCUCUUCAAUCCCUUGGCUUGUUGAGUGUUGGAUUUAUGGGGGUUUGCUGGUUUCUCUUUCUUGAGGUCAGCUCCCCUGAAAUGCAUUAGCUGAACAAUUUGUAGACUUGUUCAUUGGUGUGAUAAAUUUUAUCUACGCUACUGACAACAAAAGCAAGCUCAGCUUCUAAUAGUCUAUUAACUUGGACAAUAUUCAUAUCAAA